RNAcentral lists this ribosomal RNA (403 nucleotides) under uncultured bacterium. Its description in RNAcentral is "bacterial SSU rRNA". It matches the Rfam family "Bacterial small subunit ribosomal RNA", at positions 359 to 776 of the family's 1533-position model. The record is from RNAcentral.
GAAUUUUCCGCAAUGGGCGCAAGCCUGACGGAGCAACGCCGCGUGUGGGAGGACGCCUUUCGGGGUGUAAACCACUUUUCCGGGGGACGCAGCAAGUGACGGUACCCUGGGCAGAAGGUCCGGCUAACUACGUGCCAGCAGCCGCGGUAAUACGUAGGGACCGAGCGUUGUCCGGUGUUACUGGGCGUAAAGGGCGCGCAGGCGGCCGGUCGCGUCGGGUGUGAAAGCCCUCCGCUCAACGGAGGAGCGUCACUCGAAACGGGCUGGCUGGAGGCAGGGAGAGGUCGGUGGAAUUCCCGGUGUAGUGGUGAUAUGCGUAGAGAUCGGGAGGAACACCAGUGGCGAAGGCGGCCGACUGGACCUGACCUGACGCUGAGGCGCGAAGGCGUGGGGAGCGAACGGG